This 1046-nucleotide ribosomal RNA is filed under the name Streptomyces griseorubiginosus. RNAcentral's name for it is "partial 23S ribosomal RNA". It matches the Rfam family "Bacterial large subunit ribosomal RNA", at positions 591 to 1524 of the family's 2925-position model. Lineage: Bacteria; Bacillati; Actinomycetota; Actinomycetes; Kitasatosporales; Streptomycetaceae. The record is from RNAcentral.
UCGUGACUGCGUGCCUUUUGAAGAAUGAGCCUGCGAGUUUGCGGUGUGUUGCGAGGUUAACCCGGGUGGGGUAGCCGUAGCGAAAGCGAGUCCGAAUAGGGCGUUUCAGUAGCACGCUCAAGACCCGAAGCGGAGUGAUCUAGCCAUGGGCAGGUUGAAGCGGAGGUAAGACUUCGUGGAGGACCGAACCCACCAGGGUUGAAAACCUGGGGGAUGACCUGUGGUUAGGGGUGAAAGGCCAAUCAAACUCCGUGAUAGCUGGUUCUCCCCGAAAUGCAUUUAGGUGCAGCGUCGUGUGUUUCUUGCCGGAGGUAGAGCACUGGAUAGGCGAUGGGCCCUACCGGGUUACUGACCUUAGCCAAACUCCGAAUGCCGGUAAGUGAGAGCGCGGCAGUGAGACUGUGGGGGAUAAGCUCCAUGGUCGAGAGGGAAACAGCCCAGAGCAUCGACUAAGGCCCCUAAGCGUACGCUAAGUGGGAAAGGAUGUGGAGUCGCAGAGACAACCAGGAGGUUGGCUUAGAAGCAGCCACCCUUGAAAGAGUGCGUAAUAGCUCACUGGUCUAGUGAUUCCGCGCCGACAAUGUAGCGGGGCUCAAGCGUACCGCCGAAGUCGUGUCAUUGCAGCAAGAGGGCCAACGCCCGCUGUGAUGGGUAGGGGAGCGUCGUGUGCCGGGUGAAGCUGCGCCGGAAGGCAGUGGUGGACGGUUCACGAGUGAGAAUGCAGGCAUGAGUAGCGAUACACACGUGGGAAACGUGUGCGCCGAUUGACUAAGGGUUCCUGGGUCAAGCUGAUCUGCCCAGGGUAAGUCGGGACCUAAGGCGAGGCCGACAGGCGUAGUCGAUGGAUAACCGGUUGAUAUUCCGGUACCCGCUGUGAAGCGUCAAACAUCGAACCAGGCGAUGCUAAGUCCGUGAAGCCGCCCCGGAGCCUUCGGGCAAAGGGGAGUGGUGGAGCCGACGAACCAGACUUGCAGUAGGUGAGUGAUGGGGUGACGCAGGAAGGUAGUCCAUCCCGGGCGGUGGUUGUCCCGGGGUAAGGGUGUAGG